GAUGAACGCUGGCGGCGUGCCUAACACAUGCAAGUCGAGCGAACAGACCAUGCGCUUGUUCCUUUCUCGUUUGCGGAGGACGGGUGUGUAACACGUAUAUCCCCCACUUAUCUUUCUGGGAUAAUCUCGGAAAACCGGCUCUUAUACCGGAUAAUAUUCCGAUCCGCAUGGUUCGUUAGAGAAUGUUGGCUUUGCUGUCUCUAAUCGCUGGUCCUGCGCUGUAUUAGCUAGUUGGUACGGUAACGGCCUAUCAAGGCUACGAUACGUAGCCGAACGGAGAGGGUGAUCGGCCACACGGGAACGGAGACACGGUCCAGACGCCUACGGGAGGCAGCAGUAGGGAAUCUUCCGCAAUAGGCGAAAGCCUGACGCAGCAACGCCGCGUGAGUGAUGAAGGUCUUCGGAGCGUAAAACUCUGUUAUUGGGGAAGAACAAACGUGUAAGUAACCGUAGACGUCGUGACGGUACCGAAUCAGAAAGCAACGGCUAACUACGUG
RNAcentral lists this ribosomal RNA (497 nucleotides) under uncultured bacterium. RNAcentral describes it as "partial 16S ribosomal RNA". It matches the Rfam family "Bacterial small subunit ribosomal RNA", at positions 28 to 507 of the family's 1533-position model. The record is from RNAcentral.